This 611-nucleotide ribosomal RNA is filed under the name uncultured bacterium. Its description in RNAcentral is "bacterial SSU rRNA". The stretch from base 1 to 518 matches the Rfam family "Bacterial small subunit ribosomal RNA", at positions 338 to 873 of the family's 1533-position model. The record is from RNAcentral.
CCUACGGGAGGCAGCAGUGGGGAAUCUUGCGCAAUGGGCGAAAGCCUGACGCAGCCAUGCCGCGUGAAUGAUGAAGGUCUUAGGAUUGUAAAAUUCUUUCACCGGGGACGAUAAUGACGGUACCCGGAGAAGAAGCCCCGGCUAACUUCGUGCCAGCAGCCGCGGUAAUACGAAGGGGGCUAGCGUUGCUCGGAAUUACUGGGCGUAAAGGGAGCGUAGGCGGAUAGUUUAGUCAGAGGUGAAAGCCCAGGGCUCAACCUUGGAAUUGCCUUUGAUACUGGCUAUCUUGAGUGUGGGAGAGGUAUGUGGAACUCCGAGUGUAGAGGUGAAAUUCGUAGAUAUUCGGAAGAACACCAGUGGCGAAGGCGACAUACUGGCCCAUUACUGACGCUGAGGCUCGAAAGCGUGGGGAGCAAACAGGAUUAGAUACCCUGGUAGUCCACGCUGUAAACGAUGAGUGCUAGUUGUCGGCAUGCAUGCAUGUCGGUGACGCAGCUAACGACAUAAGACACUCCGCCGUCGGGAGGUACGGUCGCGAAGAAGUUAAAACUAACAAUAGAAGUUAGACGGACGUAGAGACGUAGACCGACGGACGACGACGAGGGAGGAGG